GAUGAACGCUGGCGGCGUGCCUAAUACAUGCAAGUCGAGCGAACGGACGAGAAGCUUGCUUCUCUGAUGUUAGCGGCGGACGGGUGAGUAACACGUGGAUAACCUACCUAUAAGACUGGGAUAACUUCGGGAAACCGGAGCUAAUACCGGAUAAUAUUUUGAACCGCAUGGUUCAAAAGUGAAAGACGGUCUUGCUGUCACUUAUAGAUGGAUCCGCGCUGCAUUAGCUAGUUGGUAAGGUAACGGCUUACCAAGGCAACGAUGCAUAGCCGACCUGAGAGGGUGAUCGGCCACACUGGAACUGAGACACGGUCCAGACUCCUACGGGAGGCAGCAGUAGGGAAUCUUCCGCAAUGGGCGAAAGCCUGACGGAGCAACGCCGCGUGAGUGAUGAAGGUCUUCGGAUCGUAAAACUCUGUUAUUAGGGAAGAACAUAUGUGUAAGUAACUGUGCACAUCUUGACGGUACCUAAUCAGAAAGCCACGGCUAACUACGUGCCAGCAGCCGCGGUAAUACGUAGGUGGCAAGCGUUAUCCGGAAUUAUUGGGCGUAAAGCGCGCGUAGGCGGUUUUUUAAGUCUGAUGUGAAAGCCCACGGCUCAACCGUGGAGGGUCAUUGGAAACUGGAAAACUUGAGUGCAGAAGAGGAAAGUGGAAUUCCAUGUGUAGCGGUGAAAUGCGCAGAGAUAUGGAGGUACACCAGUGGCGAAGGCGACUUUCUGGUCUGUAACUGACGCUGAUGUGCGAAAGCGUGGGGAUCAAACAGGAUUAGAUACCCUGGUAGUCCACGCCGUAAACGAUGAGUGCUAAGUGUUAGGGGGUUUCCGCCCCUUAGUGCUGCAGCUAACGCAUUAAGCACUCCGCCUGGGGAGUACGACCGCAAGGUUGAAACUCAAAGGAAUUGACGGGGACCCGCACAAGCGGUGGAGCAUGUGGUUUAAUUCGAAGCAACGCGAAGAACCUUACCAAAUCUUGACAUCCUUUGACAACUCUAGAGAUAGAGCCUUCCCCUUCGGGGGACAAAGUGACAGGUGGUGCAUGGUUGUCGUCAGCUCGUGUCGUGAGAUGUUGGGUUAAGUCCCGCAACGAGCGCAACCCUUAAGCUUAGUUGCCAUCAUUAAGUUGGGCACUCUAAGUUGACUGCCGGUGACAAACCGGAGGAAGGUGGGGAUGACGUCAAAUCAUCAUGCCCCUUACGAUUUGGGCUACACACGUGCUACAAUGGACAAUACAAAGGGCAGCGAAACCGCGAGGUCAAGCAAAUCCCAUAAAGUUGUUCUCAGUUCGGAUUGUAGUCUGCAACUCGACUACAUGAAGCUGGAAUCGCUAGUAAUCGUAGAUCAGCAUGCUACGGUGAAUACGUUCCCGGGUCU
This 1372-nucleotide ribosomal RNA is filed under the name uncultured bacterium. Its description in RNAcentral is "bacterial SSU rRNA". It matches the Rfam family "Bacterial small subunit ribosomal RNA", at positions 28 to 1381 of the family's 1533-position model. The record is from RNAcentral.